GUAGGAGAAUCGAGCGUGGCGUCGUGCUGACGGAUCGGAGGUGCGCGGUUUCUAGUCGAAAUAUUGCUAUAUUUUCGUUAUUACUGAGUUAGCUGACUAAAAAAGUGACUCAAGCUACUUGAAAAUCAGAGGGCAUGAAGAUGAAGAGAGACAUCAGCCAAUGGUGCGGAGCGAUAAACUGCAAAGCGUCAAAGGCUCAGCAUCCUGAACUGAGCUUCUUCAGGUUUCCUCCACAACCAGAAAGAUCAAAGAAGUGGGUGCAAAUGUGCAGGCGUCAGGACCUCAUCGGGAAGUCUCCAGAAUACCUGUCUGAGAAUGUGAAGCUGUGUUCAAGGCACUUCGAGGUGUCACAGUUCUAUCCAAACAACCCGAGAC
Long non-coding RNA from Amphibalanus amphitrite, 375 nucleotides. RefSeq lists it as uncharacterized. NCBI's taxonomy places the organism in Eukaryota, Metazoa, Arthropoda, Thecostraca, Balanomorpha, Balanidae. The transcript has 3 exons. The record is from RefSeq and is a predicted model, not a curated record.